CGGAUGUCCACCUGGAGAUAGUGUACACCUAGAUGGCGCUGGUGACGUCCUUCACCUGCUACUAGAAUAAUCAGCUACAGUUUAAACAGCAUCCAUAACAGACACUUUCACAACAAACUGAAAUGUGCAAAACAACGGAAGCAACAACAGUAAUAUCAUCAAUCAACCAAUGGGAAACGAAUAUAAUCUUCAUUUGACUGUGGCCAUGCUGGAGCACCGCCUUCUUAGUCAGACAAUUUCUGCGACCACAUCACCCCUAACAUCUGGCCAGCUAACUCCCCAGACUGCAACCCCUUGAUUAUUAUGUAUGGGGCGCAGUUGAGCGAGAGAUCACCAAAACUCCUUGUAACACCAAAGAUGAACUAAAGGCAAGGAUAAUAGCAGCAUUCACCAACUUAAACAAGGAAACCGACCAGAAGAGUUGCAGCAGAUUCCGAAGUAGUCUGGAGGCCGCGACUGAAGCCAAUGUUGAUUAUAUUGAAUAAAUUUACUCUUUAGAAUUUCACGAUAUUUUUAUGUA
Octopus bimaculoides (California two-spot octopus) is the source of this 520-nucleotide long non-coding RNA. RefSeq lists it as uncharacterized. Lineage: Eukaryota; Metazoa; Mollusca; Cephalopoda; Octopoda; Octopodidae. The record is from RefSeq and is a predicted model, not a curated record.